RNAcentral lists this ribosomal RNA (1386 nucleotides) under Triticum aestivum (bread wheat). RNAcentral describes it as "partial small subunit ribosomal RNA". The record is from RNAcentral. Lineage: Eukaryota; Viridiplantae; Streptophyta; Magnoliopsida; Poales; Poaceae.
AUGGAGUUCAGAUCUAGGUGUCGCCUGGGUUUCCUAGAUCCAGAUCGCAUCAGCACCCUUCCUGAUGAUCUACUCCUCCUCAUCCUUGCCAAGCUCCCCUGCAUCGGAGUUGCGGCGCGCACAAGCAUCCUCUCACGGCGGUGGCGCGGCCUCUGGGCCAGUCUCCGCCAAAUCAUCUUUCGCGAGGUCGUGUUCGACUCGAUCGAACCAGCACUCGGCCAGAUCUCUUGUCCUCCUGCUAUUUCCCUGUUGGAAAUCCACGCCCCCGAGCAGGACAUGGCGAGCACUGCACAAGUCAACUCGUUGUUGUCCGCCGCCGCGGAACUUGAGCCGAAGGAGUUUGUCGCUUCCUUCCCCUCAAGCUUUGGCCUAUUAGGAAGGUCCAUCAUCAUUGAUUUGCCUUGCUUCCGCCACACCACCUACAUCAUGCUGGACCAUGUAUACAUUCGCUCCGUCGCAGUCAGCGUCGAGUUUCCUGUGCUCAAGACGUUGUCCCUACUGCACUGCAAUGGCAACCUCGAGGCUUUGCUCUCAUGCUGUCCGCGCUUGUGCACCCUCCUGCUCAGCGGCAUUUUAUUUGAUACGUGUGAUCUAAGGGUGAAUUCGCCGUCGCUGCAGGAGCUUGUUGUGAACCCAUUCUCGACAGAACAUGUCAACAUUGUUGCCCCCAUGCUUAAGAAAAUGGAGAUUCUCCUUACCGUGAUGUUGGAGGUCAACAUUUCAGUAUUGGCACCAAUUAUGGAGAAUGUCUGGUGGUACUGCUGCUACACUGAGGAGUCUAUUGUGUUUGGUCCUUGGUAUCUCGAGUUGUUGGGGUUGCAGGUGGCAGAUAGACAAGGACAACUCCCUUUGUUGCAUAUUCGUGCAAGUGUAGACUCGUCACUUUUCCCCUACGAGCCCAACUUUGCACAGGAGAUAGAGAAGCAUAUGGUUGUUGACUUCUCUCUUUUGGAGUUAGAUCUCAAAACAGAUGGACAUGUUUUGGGAGCCCUCGUGUUUUAUCUCCUUCAGAUUGAUCAAAUUUCUAGUUCACUGCGGAAGCUUAAAAUCAUCCUAUUAAGAUCAGUGGUAAAAGAAGAAUGCCCAACGGAUUGUCCCUGUGAGUGCACAAACUGGAGGUCCCAAGCUAUCUCCUUGACUGCUCUUGAAGAAGUGGAAAUCAAUGGAUUUGAAGGAGUGGAUCAUGAGUUUGAUUUACUGAAAAAACUACUUGUAUUCGCACCAAAGCUUAAAAAAAUUAUUGUGAGGCUCACACAGGAGGUCUCAUCAAGUAACACUAGACGCACUAAAAUAUACAACGUCUUCGAGACCUAUGGUUCAGCAGAAUGCUUUGUCUAUCUUAGCUCUGGUUUAAUAGACGACAUCCAAAAUCAACCAUCGACAUGA